This 374-nucleotide ribosomal RNA is filed under the name uncultured eukaryote. RNAcentral describes it as "partial 18S ribosomal RNA". It matches the Rfam family "Eukaryotic small subunit ribosomal RNA", at positions 592 to 975 of the family's 1831-position model. The record is from RNAcentral.
CAAUAGCGUAUAUUUAAGUUGUUGCAGUUAAAAAGCUCGUAGUUGGAUUUCGGUUAAGAGCGACCGGUCCGCCGUUUGGUGUGCACUGGUUGGUUUUAACUUCCUGUAGAGGACGUGCUCUGGGUUUAACGACCUGGACUCGGAGUCUACGUGGUUACUUUGAAAAAAUUAGAGUGUUCAAAGCGGGCUUACGCUUGAAUAUUUCAGCAUGGAAUAACACUAUAGGACUCCUGUCCUAUUUCGUUGGUCUCGGGACGCGAGUAAUGAUUAAGAGGAACAGUUGGGGGCAUUCGUAUUUCAUUGUCAGAGGUGAAAUUCUUGGAUUUAUGAAAGACGAACUUCUGCGAAAGCAUUUGCCAAGGAUGUUUUCAUUA